RNAcentral lists this non-coding RNA (24 nucleotides) under Bacillus methanolicus MGA3. Lineage: Bacteria; Bacillati; Bacillota; Bacilli; Caryophanales; Bacillaceae. The record is from RNAcentral.
AGAGAAAUACAAAAAAUCACUUAA